Tribolium castaneum (red flour beetle) is the source of this 2594-nucleotide RNA transcript. RefSeq lists it as uncharacterized. NCBI's taxonomy places the organism in Eukaryota, Metazoa, Arthropoda, Insecta, Coleoptera, Tenebrionidae. The transcript has 4 exons. The record is from RefSeq and is a predicted model, not a curated record.
CUUUUGUGAUUUAUCACACGAAUUCAUUUUUCGAGGCCUACAACACCAAUUUGUCAUUUUUAUUAUGAAUAAUUAUCAUAUAAAGUUGUUUGCUCUGUGAUGCGAUAAGACGACCCAAUUUUGUUUUUUGCAUUUAAAAAAUACCCAAUUUUGUAUUAGUCCCGCCUACUGACUGCGCCAAUUAAAAACGAAAAAAUGCUCUUAUAAAAAAGUAUUACAACUGUCAGAAAAUUGGAAAAUAAAUGAAUUGGAAAAACUAUUAUACAAAAAUAGAUAUAUCAACCUUAUAAUAUAUACAAAAAAUAAUACUUUUAAGAGUAAUUACCUAUAAUUAUACUUACUAAGUUUUUUGUGUCUUUCAAAAAUUAAGACUCACACAGAAAUCAACGUUUGCUAUUUAAUUUUAAACAUUUUAUAUUUUUCUUUAUAAAUGUAAUUUUUUUCAGAAUUUUUCUAAAAUUCAUUAGGUAUAAUCAAAAUUAAUUAAUUAAUUAUAGUAUUGAACCACUGCACGAAAUAAAAAAUACGUAAAUAAAGUUGUAGGCAGGUAGUACUAGACCCCAAAAAUAUUUAUAUUUACUUAAAAAUAUAUUGAAAAAAAAUAUUAUAAUAUUCAAAAAAAAAAACUAUCAAAGGAGCUUUGAAGCUUGUUUUAUAUUUAUUACUAACUAUUAAUAUCUUUAAAUACAAUUAUUCUGUAUUAGUAAAAAUUGUAGAAAAAAAUUGAAAAUAAUGUACAUUUAUUGAGAAAAAUAAUAAUAAUAAUAAUAAUAAUAAUAAUUUAUUUGUGGCAGUAAAACAGUUACAAUAUAAUUAGUUACAACAAGAAAAAAAAAUACGAUAACAAAAUUAAAAUUUUCUACAAGUUGUUCUUACCAUAAAUUGUACCAAAAGGCAGCAAAGCUAAUCAAGGUUUUGGCCCAGACAAUAAAUGAGAAAUAACAAAAAAUAAAAAUAAACAAUGUGAUUAAAGAAAAAUAAAAAAUAUAAUAAUAAAAAAAUAUCUAAUUCUAUUUAACAAAUUUAUAGAGACGAAAAAAAAAUACAUAAGAAAAAUAGAAAAAUCAUUUUGUAAAAAACAUUUUGUAUUUGUGCUUAAAAUUCAAUGGCUGAUUUCUGUGUGAUUAUUAGUUUUUGAGAUAGGUUACUGGUAUCUAGUAAAAACUACUCCAAGUAGUAGUAGAGUAGAGUUGUCUUGUAGAUUCUAAAAAUUUUUUGUGAAUAAUAAUUUUAAUAAUUCUAGGAAGUUUUUUUAAUUUUGAAAAAAAUUACUAUAAUGUCGUUUAAAAAAACAGACUAAUAAAUAUAUAUAUUUUUUAUAGUUAGGUAUUUUUCUCUGAAACGCCUUAGAAUACAUACGGUGAAAAAAUUAGAGAAAGGGAUUAUUUCAGCUGAAGUUGAGGACUUAUCGUGGUAUAAAAUUGCGGCUGAACUAUUUAUUUUUCAGGAAUUCUUCAUUUCGUAGAAAUUUUUCUAUAUAUAUAUUUACAUUAUUUAUUGUCGGCUACCGUUUUUCUCCUCAGGUAGGACCACUUUUGGUUAUAUUAAUAUAAAUAAGUCAUCAGUAACCAAAUCGCUUUUAAAAAAUGUCGUGUAUAUUAAUUAAUAAUAAUUAGUUAUGUAUACAUUUCAGUAGGCGUCCGAACACGUAUUUACAUAUUCAUAAUACUCCAAUUACAACACUGUCCUAGAGAAAAUAAUUUCAUUUAAAUCUUUGCCUGCUUAGCAUAAUUGGAUAACUAAAAGUUUGACAAUUCGAUAAAUUAUCGUAAAUUUAUGUCUUGGGUGGAGACAAUUUUUGACAUUCCACACUCCAGCCUUAAUAAUUAAUUUUUUGUCCUUGCUCUGUCGAUAAACUUUUAAUUAUUCAAUACUGAAAACAUUUAAUCUGUUUUAUGGUGGUGUAAAUACGUUAGGGAAUUGAUUUGGCUGACGUAACUUUAAAUAUGGAUCAGCUAAUGUCUAGAUUAUUAGCACCCUGAAACCGAACUCCCCUGCCACUUUUGUUGCCAAAGCAGCGAUUCGAGCCGAUGACUUAGCACUAUAAAUAUUCAGAACGAUACAGUCAUCAUCAAUCAUUUAAUUAUUACUGGAGAGACUACUAUGGAGACAUCCCUGAUGAUGCUUUCCCUGCAGGUUACGACCGAAACCUAGAACCCACCUACAUUGGCCAACUCUUUGUUUUAAACCAUGGACUUUUAACCACAAGAAUUUACAAGGGACAAAAGUGUGUCACAGCUUCUAAAGAAGGCAUUCAUACUUCAUCUGAAGCCAUCAAGAUUUUGUGUAGCACUCAAGCGGAGAAAUUCCGCUGGAUUCCUUCAACAGCUUGCGAGCUACAUGUUGAAACUAUAGGCAAACAUCUGGUCGUAGGAGGUUACGAAAAUGGUAAAAUCCUCAAUAUUGGAAGAGGUUCAUACCAAGAGGAGGUAAUUGUGGGGAAAGUCUGCAGUUACAACAUCGGAAACGCCCUAAUGUAUUUUCCUUACAAAAACGAAGAGGUCACAAUGGAUUCGUACGAAGUACUAAUUUACGACAAUAAUAAUAUUGAUGAUAUUGAUGUACGUUAAAUAAAAUAAACUUUGAAAAACUUA